Cebus imitator (Panamanian white-faced capuchin) is the source of this 6026-nucleotide long non-coding RNA. RefSeq lists it as uncharacterized. The record is from RefSeq and is a predicted model, not a curated record. NCBI's taxonomy places the organism in Eukaryota, Metazoa, Chordata, Mammalia, Primates, Cebidae. The transcript is spliced from 2 exons.
UACCAGUGAGAACAUACUAAACAAUUUUAAAUGUUCCUUUUAAAAUAAAAUUGCAAUAGGAAACUUGCUUACAGGAAAGAUACAUUGUGUUUACAUAUACUGAUGUUUGCUAUAAUUCUCUAGAUGAAUAGGUAAAUUUUCCAGUGCCAUGUUAGUGUGUGAGAUGAAUAUAUAAUUUACCAGAAUUAAUUUUAAUUUUUACUCUUAAUACCAGCAAGAGUUUUUCAUCAAAAGGAUGGUAGAAUACAAAUUUCAUUUAGAUUGUAUGGGAAAUAUUUUUACAUCUGAUGAAUAAAACUGCCUAGCAGAACAAUUUUACAUAGUUUUAUUGUGGUAUCAAUAGAUAAUUAAGCCCAGUCUUAAAAAUAUGACAAUUUAUGUAAUUCAUUCCAAAUAAAAUCUUUAAACUAGCAUGUAUAAUGAUGUCUUUUGUCCUUACCCCUAUCCUGGUACAUUUUUAAAGUUUAUGUUCUUGUUCUGUAGUAGCAAUUAUAUUCCAUUGUAACUUUUAAUAGAUGAUGGUUUAGAGUCUAACGUUUUCCCAUUCUUUCAGUCUCAGUUUUGAAGAGGAAACAACUAUAGAUAAUGUAUAAAUAGUAAGCUGAGGUAUGACUAUUGAUUCUAUCCUCAGCAUAGGAUGUUUAGCCCAUUCUUUUUCUGUUGAAUUCUAGUGGUGCUUAUUAUAACUUGUAAAAAAAAAAAAAAAAAAAAAAAAAAAAAAAAAAAAAAAAAAAAAAAAAAAAAAAAAAAAAAGGAAGCAAUGAGAAAAGAAUAAAACAAAGAACAAAAAGAAAACUAAAGAUGCAUUCUGCUGUUUAGGGAGCAGUGUUAGGUAUCUCUCUGAAAGGACUUGAAGAGUAGUGAUGGUAAUGAUGCGUUCAUAAUGACAUGGAGAGACCCUUUCCUUCGAGAUGUCUUGCUAAACUUUGAAUUCAUGACAGUGUAUACCUGAAGUAAUAUUUCUUCUGGCUAUCUGGAAUUUAUUUAUUUACUUAAAAUUUGAAGUCAGAAGAUUUCAAGUACUUAAAAUAUUUUUUUCUUUCUGAAAGAAGGAUACUUUAAAAAUCUUGUCUACAAGUCUGGACUGAUUAAAACAACUCGUUUUCAGGAAUAAUCUUACUACUUUAAAGUUGUUGGUGCCCUUUAAAUUCUUGCUACCCUUUGGCCUCAAAACAGAAAGAUAAAUACUUGAUAAUGUUAUCAUUAGUAAUAAAAAUUAAGGGGAGUGGAAUGGAGGAGAUUAGGUAUUGGAGCACCUUUACUAAGAUUCAGUUAGUGUGGAUUCCUUCAUUAAAAUACCAAAAUGUGUAAAGCAGUAUUGUUUCCUAUCAAAGUCUUAAAGGUGUUCAAAUGUCACGUGGGCUCUUAAAAGAGUAAAGACUCUGUGGGCUGUAUGCCUAGCCCUAUACGCUGUUCAGGGAAGAAUGUCUACACACAGUCAGAAACUCUGCCCACGGGCUCAUUGUUCUAACUGGUAGAUGUUUAUUGUAAACUCUGGAAGGAGAAGGUAUGUGCUGCCUUCAGGAUACAGUUGCUGUGCUGUCCUAUACAUUUUCAAUUUUAUUUCAUUUUUAAAAAGUAACUUUAUAUACUAGAUAUUGAAGCAAUAUGUUUUUAAUGUAUUAGUGAAACAGUUUUCAAGAUGAGUGAUUAAAUAUAGACAGAAAUAAUCUUGUAAAAAUUAAUCCCUCUUAAAUCAGUUUAUCAAAAUGGAGGCCUGAUUGGGAGAGUGGUGUGUUGGUAGUUAUAUUUAGUUGUUUUUUUUGUGCUUUAAAAAUUUUAUUAGUGGUCAUCUAUAAUUGCCUCCCUAUUUACAAAACAGCAUCUUUUUACUCAAUCUCAGCCAAAUUAAGGCCUAAUAAGAGACAGUCUAGGGUGGUGGCUAAAAGCAUGGCCUUUCAGUAGCUCUGUGACCUAGAAUUGUAAAUGUACUUCAUAGCCAUGUUAUAAAGAUGGAAUACAGUGCAUAGAAAGCUCUUAGCUCAAUGCCUGGCACAUAAUAAAUGCUCAGGAUAUUGGCUGCUAUCACUAUUAUUGAUGUUGCUGCUUUGUAAUUUGUUUAAAUUUUAAAAAGAAAGAUCCAUGUUUUCCUGAAUAGAAAAAGUGUCUUUCGAAAUGAAUAGAAGACAUGACAUUAUUAGGAAUUUAAUUCUGGUGUUUUCUAAUACAUUAAGUUUUGCCGCCUUAAUGUAUUAGAAAUCAUAUUUUAUGUAACAAAGUAGUAGCUUUACAAACACUCCAGGUAAUUUUAAGAUCACAUACUUUCUACUAUAUUUGGAAUUUACAGAGUAAGAGAAUGCCCUCAGAAAGUGGCUUCAUGCCUCUCCGAUUUGCUAGAAUAUUUUAAUAUUUUUCCUCUAAUCUGUUUCUCAAGAGGCACUAUGACCUGAGUUGAAAGCGUGACCAGAUGCUUCCAUUUACCAGUGGUUUGAUUUUGGGCAAGUGGCUUAAUUUGUAGGGAUUUAGAUUUCAUUAUUUUUAACCUGUAGGGUCUGAGGCUAAAUGGUUUCUAAGGUUUCUUUCAUUCUAAAAAUCUGUUUCCAAAAAAUAAUUCCUCAGUUUUCCAGGUGGCACAACUCACCCUUAUCUGCUAAUGAAGAAAUAAUACACAACAGUAGAUUCAUAGCUCAUGGCAAUAUGGCUUUCUAGUCUAUUGAGGAGCGUUGUAUGGCUGAAGACCUUCAGAAAAUUUAUGUCCUUUCAUGAUCUGCAGAAUUGGUCAUUUGUGUUUUCUUUUUUGAGAAGAACAGAGUGUGCCCAGGAUAGCAAAUUUGGCGUUCUGGGUUUAUUUAGUGCAUUUGGGAAAUUGAAGAAAUCACUGCACAUUUGGCUCUUUGUGCUAUUGAAUGAGCUAGAUUUGAUGUCAGAAAAGCCAUAAGCAAUGCAGUCCUUGCACUCUUGUUGAUAAACAUGUCCCCAGAUAUUGAUGAGAGGUUUAUGAUUUUUAGACAGAAAUCAUAUACCUGCAUUUCAGGUCAUGCUGUCACAAAUUCAUCCUAAAGAGUUAUAGAUCUACUGAUACUCCAUGCCACCUUCUAAACUAUAUGUGAAUGGAACACAAAGCAACUGGAAAAUUCCACCAUGACUGACUUGAGGGCUUAGCAGCUAUUCAUCACUGAUCAAGUAGGUUUAGACAGCAACACUGAAUUGGGUAAAAAUUGACUCCCAGACUUCACAGGGAUCUUCAGUAGAGAUACUGUGUGGAAAUGCAAGUAAGUAGGUAACAUCUGGGUGAGUUUGCUGAAAUGAGGAGAAACCUAUAGCAAAAGAGUAAAAUGUUUGUGCCAUAUUAGUUUAUCAUGAGUUAAAAGCCAAUCCUAAGGGAGACUGUCAACUAGCUAAUAAGCCUUUUAUAUACAUGUAAUAUAUUUUGGCAAAAAAUGUUCUUUUUUGCUUAUUGGAAAUUUUUGUUUGUUUAAGAGCAUUUGGAUAUUUUGAAUCUAAAGCGUAGUAAAGUGAUUAUUAUAUCCUACCAGAUACUCUUUUGAUGUUGAUAUAGAUACUUUGCUUUUAUAUUCAGUAAUAUUUUAUCACAGUUAAAAGAUUUCAUCAUAACUCUAGUGUGUUUUAGUGAUUCAGCUCAGCUCAGUCUUGAUUUUAGCUAGAAACCCAGGUGAAUCUCCAUUUUCCUGUUUUCAGAUGUAAUGUUUAACCAUAACAGAAGCUGAUUUUUAAACCAGUAACUUCUUCACCUUCCCAUCCCCACUUCUUUUUAUUAAAUUUUAAAAAUGUAACCUGGUUUUGUUGUAUACUUAAGUCAGGAGUCCUUUCUCCAUUCUGUACACAGUUACUAGUUUUUUGAGUGAUGUAUAUACAAGUCGAUUAAACUUCUUACAGCAUAAAGAGAGAAAGUUAAAACUUAAUUUGGAGGGCAUACUCGUAGACCUUGCCGGACUGUGCUCAUGGCCAGGCAGGGGGGACAGUGUAUGCAAGAAUAAUUUGGAGUUCCUGCCAGCUCUAACCAGCUUCAUCAGUGGCUGGAUAAAUUGCAGGACUCUUAACAUUUCCCUGAAAAAAAAAAAAAAAAAGAAAACUUAAUUUGGGAAUGGUUCUAAUGGAAAAACCUCUACUUAGAGUAUGGAUUUUGAUUUUUUUUUUUUUUUUAAAUAAAAAAUAUUUUGGGCUGGGCAUAGUGGCUUAUACCUAUAAUCCAAGCACUUCGGGAGGCCACAGUGGACAGAUCGCUUGAGGCCAGGAGUUUGAAACCAGCCUGACCAACGUAGCGAAACUUUGUCUCUAUUAAAAAGACAAAAAAAUUAGUCAAGCUUGGUAGCAGGUGCUGCUUGGGAGGAUAAGGCGUGAGAAUUGCUUGAACCUGGGAAGAGUGGUUGCAGUGAGCCAAGAUCACACUACUGCACUCCAGCCUGGUCAAUAGAGUGAGAAUUUGUUUCAAAAAAAAUUUUUUUUUACAGGUGAUGCAACUUGAUAAUAAAUACUUGUUUUUUUUUUUUUUUAUGGCAAUAAUGGAAAGAUAGACAAUGUCAUAGGAAGGGCGUUUGAGGCAGAAGGAACAAAAUGAACAAAGGCAUGGAAGGAUGGCUUAUAUAGGGACUCAUGGAAUAAUGUGCUAUGACUAGGAGCUUUCAGUGUUUGGAAGUUAGGUUGGAUCCAGUUAUUUUUUAAAAAGCAUGUAUUAAAGCUAAAAAUAUUACUGGGGAACCACCUAAGUUUGUGGUUUAGUUUGUUUGCUUGUUUUUGUUUUUUAAAGCAGAACAAAUUUAUGUGAUUUAGAUUAUCAUCUUAGGAAUUUUGCUCUAGUGGCUGUGAAGGAUAACUUGAAGGAGGAGUAAUAGUUGGUUUCUUUCUGAAACACUGUAAUCGAAUGGCUGAGGCACUUCCAGUUGGAUCAUAGUAGAUGGGAUUAGUAGAAUUCUUGCCAGAGUGCAAGGUUGUGGAACUGCAGAUUAUUGCUAAUAGCUUCAGGGAUCAAAAAAACUUUUUUUCAACCUACAGGAUAGCAAAUAUCUUAGGUUUGCAGACAUUAUGUUCUCUCUUGCCCAUGAGAGAACUAACUUAUUCUGCCAUUGCAGCUCUAAAGUAGAGAUGGGCAAUAUGUAAAUGAAUGUGCAUGACUGUUCCAAUAAAACUUAUUUAUGAAAACAUACGGCCAUCGCAGGCCAGUUUGCCAACCCCGCUUUUAAACCUUAAUGAGAAGAGAAUCAGAGGCAGCAAGAGGAAAGAGAUUUCUGAAGGAAUAUUACAGAAGCACGAAAAUAGGGAGGAAAUGACAGUGGAAAGGGGCGGGACAUUAAGGGGUGGAGGAAAACCCUAUGGAGAGAUUCUAUUUUAAAAGAGCCUGUAGGAAUCUAAACACUGAUGUUAAGAAAUUAAAUUUUUGGGGUUGUGUUAAUGGUAUUGUGGUUUUGUUCUUUUAAGGUAUUCUUAGUGUUUGGAGAUCUGCACUGAAAUAUUUGUGAAUGAAAUGAUAGGGUAUCUGGAAUUUGCUUCAUAAUAAUCUAUUGGAGUUGUCAGAGGAGAGGAACAGCUGAAAAAAAUUGGCCUCAAGUCAGUAAUUGUCCAACACUGAGUGAUGGAUACUUUGGGAUUUAAUGAGUUAUUAAUCUCUCUGCUCCUGAAUAUUCCUUAAAACUUCCAUAAUAAAAGUUGUUUUAGUAAAAGACUUGGAUUUGGGGGUUAACCUCAGAGUGAGUUCCAAAGAGUGAUUGGAGAGGAAGAUGGAUUGCAGAGGGUGGAUGGUAGAUGAGAGAAGGAGUUUGUGUCCUAGUGAAGAGGAGGGGGGAUAUGAAGGGAAAAGAAGGUAGGAGAAUUCAGUGGCUUCUCAAGGGGUAGAGAGAGACUCAGGGGAUGGGAGUUUUAGAGGAAGUUCAAAGAGGACACAGAAUGGAUGGGUUUAAAAGCAGGUAUGUGGUCGCUCUUCACCUUACGGACAUUUCGUUUUAUUCCUAUAGACAAAUAAAUCCAGAAUCAUGCAAUGAAAGGCAGUUUCCCACAAAGUAAAGAAAUAUGUGGUGGAUUUAUAUUAAAACCUGUUUGUCUGCUUGUAGAUGUUUGGGCAUUUGUCACAA